GACGAACGCUGGCGGCGUGCCUAAUACAUGCAAGUAGAACGCAGUUGCGAACGGGUGAGUAACGCGUAGGUAACUGCCUCAUAGCGGGGGAUAACUAUUGGACACGAUAGCUAAUACCGCAUACUGUGAGAUGGACCUGCGUUGUAUUAGCUAGUUGGUGAGGUAAAGGCUCACCAAGGCGACGAUACAUAGCCGACCUGAGAGGGGGAGCUGCACCGCUGGGACUGAGACACGGCCCAGACGCCGACGAAGUACAUCAGUAAUUAAUCUUCGGCAAUUUACGGAAGUCUGACCUAGCAACGCCGCGGGAGUGAAGAAGAUUUUCGGAUCAUUAAACUCUGUUGUUAGAGAAGCGGUAACUAACCAGAAAGGGACGGCUAACUACGUGCCAGCAGCCGCGGUAAUUC
Molecule: ribosomal RNA, 407 nt
Filed under: uncultured bacterium
Lineage: Bacteria
Description: partial 16S ribosomal RNA
Rfam family: Bacterial small subunit ribosomal RNA
Source: RNAcentral